AAGAGGAAGGUAGCUGCGAUCUUGUACUAGAUCCUAUCAGAAUUCUGUAGUUAAACAUGCUUGAGGAGAGUAAUAUUAGGAUAGGUGACUUCCUAGGAAGUCCUCCUGUUGCACAUU
This is a non-coding RNA of Lupinus albus (white lupine), 117 nucleotides long. Lineage: Eukaryota; Viridiplantae; Streptophyta; Magnoliopsida; Fabales; Fabaceae. The record is from the annotation of a GenBank genome assembly.